GCUUACUAAUUAACUUUAUAAUUUAUCGUAGUCUAGGAGAUGUCUCUCACUAGAAACUUUUCCAAAAUUAAUUCCAAUCACGCUUAUUAUCGCAAUUCUUAUCCUAAAAGACUAAUUACUAACACAUUAAAAUUUAUCUCCAUGCAAGGGAAUAGCAGUAGAACAUAUAAUUUUAGCAUUAGCAUAUAAACAAGUAGAGCCGGAAUCAAAUAGUACAUAAUUAUUCCUUUCACAAGUUAAGAACAUACCGGCAACUACAUCUGAAGUCUCUGCUUCUUCCCCUCGAUGCAUGGCGUUCCCUCUUUCUAAUGUAUUCCUCUGCUCGGGUUGGUCCAUUGUGCGAGGAUUACCCGAAGUGUUGUCUCUACUUCUGCCUCUGCCCCUACUGACUAUUAAUGAGCCUCUAAAAUUAGAACCUUGGACUGAUUCCUCUGGUGUAGUAUGUGGCAUAAAUCGACAUGCGCUAGUACAAUCUCGGGCGAAAUGUCCAAUUCCACCACAAUUGAAGCAGGCUCCAGUGACCCUAUGGCAAAUACCCCCAUGAAAUUUUCCACAAACGUCACAGAUACGGAUAGGGUAGGAACUUCUGGUUCUUUGACGAAUGGUUCUUGAUUGCUUCCGCCCUGAAGAUCCGCCUCUGUCAUACUUAGGAGCUCGGGGUCCCUCAAAAUCUUUUCUCUUUCCCAAAUUACUACUCGAACUUUGACCGAUGGGUUUCCCACUUUUCUCUUUUUCAUGCUGCUCUUGAGGGGGUUGGGUUUGUACUUGGGCCUGGGCUGACAGAUUAUCAGCCAUUUG
Molecule: unclassified non-coding RNA, 798 nt
Filed under: Hevea brasiliensis (rubber tree)
Lineage: Eukaryota; Viridiplantae; Streptophyta; Magnoliopsida; Malpighiales; Euphorbiaceae
Source: RNAcentral